UACGUAGGGGGCAAGCGUUAUCCGGAUUUACUGGGUGUAAAGGGAGCGUAGACGGCACUACAAGUCUGGAGUGAAAGCCCGGGGCUCAACUCCGGGACUGCUUUUGAAACUGUAUAGCUGGAGUGCAGGAGAGGUAAGUGGAAUUCCUGGUGUAGCGGUGAAAUGCGUAGAUAUCAGGAGGAACACCAGUGGCGAAGGCGGCCUGCUGGACGGUGACUGACGCUGAGGCUCGAAAGCGUGGGGAGCAAACAGG
RNAcentral lists this ribosomal RNA (253 nucleotides) under uncultured Lachnospiraceae bacterium. RNAcentral's name for it is "partial 16S ribosomal RNA". It matches the Rfam family "Bacterial small subunit ribosomal RNA", at positions 524 to 776 of the family's 1533-position model. Lineage: Bacteria; Bacillati; Bacillota; Clostridia; Lachnospirales; Lachnospiraceae. The record is from RNAcentral.